AUUUAGUGGUGCUUUACUCUGUUUGAGCUCUUCCAUCUUUACUAUCUAGAUGGAGGUUUUAUUUUCUUUUUUUCCUUUGGCUGCAGAUGGAUCGUUGAGUUGAUUUGUGACCUCCGUUGUUCUGGCUUGGACUCAGACAUGUGUGCUCGAUGAGAGUUCCUUUCAUACGUGCAAUGUUCAAUAACUCCGAGGAAUGAUCAGUCGGUCCGAUUUGAAGUUGACUUCUAUUAGGCUAAACAGAGUGUAUGGCCGACGAGUUCUCUCUAUUGCCUGCCAGAGUUAGGUUGAUUUGUUGUUGGCCUAUUGUCCAUGUCCUUCUGUUGGUGAACUCUCAGUGCAAAUUUUAUUUGUUACGAAAGUUAGCGGUGUUGAAAAUGGUGGCGCUGCGCUAGAGUUCCGGUAAGGGGUGGAUCUAUUGUGUUGGAUUGGGGAUACUGGAUUAAAU
This 445-nucleotide long non-coding RNA is filed under the name Manihot esculenta (cassava). RNAcentral's name for it is "long non-coding RNA (MESC_LNC001511)". The record is from RNAcentral. Lineage: Eukaryota; Viridiplantae; Streptophyta; Magnoliopsida; Malpighiales; Euphorbiaceae.